UGCUUCAUUACACAUGAGCAAAAUGAUACAAGGGGAUAAAAUUUAAACUCAAUUUUCUUAGUGGCUUACCACUAAUGGAGCAAAAAAUGUAAACCGUAAGCAACAUUUAUAGUCUUGUUUGUGUACAUCUAAAGAAUGUGUUCUAAUGUGCUCUUUUUUUUCUCUCCACUAACUUCAGAGGGAAAUAUCGGGUUUGUCUUUUUGUAUGCAAAAUAUUCAGCACACCAAGUUUGUCUCCCUGCCCUUUGAUGCUGUGGAGGUUGUGUGCUGUCAGUUUACUGGCGCUGUUUGGCUGAAAAGGCUGCCUGCUGCACUACAAGAGAAGAUGCACUGAGAAGUAAAGGAACCUAAAAGAAGGAACUGUGCAGUUUGAUAGUAUCAUUUUCUGCAUCACUUCAGCUGAUCUGAAGGCAGGGCUGUGCGCAUGAGUAAAUACUGCAAUCUGGUCAUCAGACGGAGGGGAACUUGCAUCCCCCACCCUAACCCUCCUUCCAGGAAGCAGCCAUGUAAAUACUCUGCAGUAUGAUCGUCUGACAUGUAACAUGAAACAUGCCGGCUGUAACUUGGAGGGCAAACGGAUCGUGUUUGCAGGCACUGGCGGCAGAUGCAAUAUUUCUAAAAAUGAAACUUAAGAUACAAUUUCAUAUUUCAUUCCACAAACAGCCCUGAGAGAAUUCUGUCUUGUCUUUCAGGGUGGAGCAUUACUCCCUGCCAGCCUUCAAACAGUAUCAAAAACCUGAUUUCUUCCCAGGUCGCAAAUUAUCCAGAGGCCCCGGAAUGCAGAUGCAAAAGCCAAGGUAUGUUAUUUUAAUUUAUUUCCUGUGUUACGGCAACCCAGAGGGAAAUCACAAGAGCUGAGACAGAAGCUGUGCUACUCUAUCUUUAACAGGUAACAGGAAAUUGGCCAUUCAGCACAUCAUCUACAGUAGCUGCUCCAGCCAGCCAACGGACUGAUGGAUGGCAAGUCACACUCGAGCUGCGACACCAUUGAUUUCCCUCUCAUACAACCUCGAGACUGCUGAUUCAAGAUAAUGUUACAUUUUUAAAGGCUUUGCUGUGAUAGUGGGGUCAUAAAUUCUGCAGAUGAAGCUGAUAAAUGAGCUGAAGCUACAUUGACAGGUCCAGGUUUUUCUUUCUCCUAGGUGUGUUCUGACACAGAGGCUAUGACAGGUGAAGGUGCUUAGUAAUCAGUGGAGACAGCGCAGGCAGGUGUUCUGAUCAUCAUCAACACUUCUCGAUAAAACCAGACAUCAUUCUUUGCUUGGAGUGGGACUUUCUUCACCUACUUGUGCCUCCUGGAUCCGCUGUCUGCUCUGUCCUGUCCGUUGGAGAGCAACUCACCUGUUGGAUUCCUGGGUUCCAUUCUUCUACUAGUCUGCUCUCCAUUCCUGCCUACAAAGCCAGCACCUGUCUCCUCACACCAGGAGCCGUUAGCCCCCAGCUCGCUUAACCCUGCCACUCCUACGCCUGCCUCUCCACCGUAGCCCUACAAUCUACACCUGCUGGGUCGUCACUACACUGGAAUGGUUGGAGCCAGUCCCCAAUCCCCAAUUUCAAUAAAAAAU
Amphiprion ocellaris (clown anemonefish) is the source of this 1565-nucleotide long non-coding RNA. Lineage: Eukaryota; Metazoa; Chordata; Actinopteri; Pomacentridae. The record is from Ensembl.